This 334-nucleotide ribosomal RNA is filed under the name uncultured bacterium. RNAcentral's name for it is "bacterial SSU rRNA". It matches the Rfam family "Bacterial small subunit ribosomal RNA", at positions 8 to 334 of the family's 1533-position model. The record is from RNAcentral.
AGAGUUCGAUCCUGGCUCAGGAUGAACGCUAGCUACAGGCUUAACACAUGCAAGUCGAGGGGCAUCAGGAAGAAAGCUUGCUUUCUUUGCUGGCGACCGGCGCACGGGUGAGUAACACGUAUCCAACCUUCCGUACACUCAGGGAUAGCCUUUCGAAAGAAAGAUUAAUACCUGAUGGUAUAUCUGAAAGGCAUCUUUCAGCUAUUAAAGAAUUUCGGUUAUCGAUGGGGAUGCGUUCCAUUAGGCAGUUGGUGAGGUAACGGCUCACCAAACCUUCGAUGGAUAGGGGUUCUGAGAGGAAGGUCCCCCACAUUGGAACUGAGACACGGUCCAA